This 298-nucleotide ribosomal RNA is filed under the name uncultured eukaryote. RNAcentral's name for it is "partial 18S ribosomal RNA". It matches the Rfam family "Eukaryotic small subunit ribosomal RNA", at positions 1470 to 1796 of the family's 1831-position model. The record is from RNAcentral.
CCCUUAGACACUCUAGGCGGCACGCGCGCUACAAUGGGUGGAAGAACGUGUUACUGCCUCCGAAAGGAGGGGUGAAUCACGAAUUCUUGCCCGUGAAUGGGAUAGUUUGUUGCAAUUUUCGGACUUGAGCUAGGAAUCCCUUGUAAACAUGCUCAAGAAUAGCGUGUUGAAUACGUCCCUGCCGUUUGUACACACCGCCCGUCGUUUCUUCUGACUGAUACUCAUUGUGAGUUGCAAGGACCCUUUAUUGGGAAAUUGCUGCAAAUGCUUUGUAUUGGAGGAAGAAAAAGGCGUAACA